UAAAAAAUGAAUCGGGCUCGGCCCGAUCCUCCCACCCUUUGUGUACCUACCUCUGUUGCUUUGGCGGGCCGCGGUCCUCCGCGGCCGCCCCCCUCCCCGGGGGGGUGGCCAGCGCCCGCCAGAGGACCAUCAAACUCCAGUCAGUAAACGAUGCAGUCUGAAAAACAUUUAAUAAACUAAAACUUUCAACAACGGAUCUCUUGGUUCUGGCAUCGAUGAAGAACGCAGCGAAAUGCGAUAAGUAAUGUGAAUUGCAGAAUUCAGUGAAUCAUCGAAUCUUUGAACGCACAUUGCGCCCUUUGGUAUUCCGAAGGGCAUGCCUGUUCGAGCGUCAUUACAACCCUCAAGCUCUGCUUGGUAUUGGGCACCGUCCUUUGCGGGCGCGCCUCAAAGACCUCGGCGGUGGCGUCUUGCCUCAAGCGUAGUAGAACAUACAUCUCGCUUCGGAGCGCAGGGCGUCGCCCGCCGGACGAACCUUCUGAACUUUUCUCAAGGUUGACCUCGGAUCAGGUAGGGAUACCCGCUGAACUUAAGCAUAUCAAUAAGCCGGAGGAA
Molecule: ribosomal RNA, 555 nt
Filed under: Botryosphaeria dothidea
Lineage: Eukaryota; Fungi; Ascomycota; Dothideomycetes; Botryosphaeriales; Botryosphaeriaceae
Description: eukaryotic LSU rRNA
Rfam family: 5.8S ribosomal RNA (bases 181-334)
Source: RNAcentral